CCUACGGGAGGCAGCAGUAGGGAAUCUUCCGCAAUGGACGAAAGUCUGACGGAGCAACGCCGCGUGAGUGAAGAAGGUUUUCGGAUCGUAAAACUCUGUUGUCAGAGAAGAACAAUGUUGGAGAGUAACUGCUCCAGCCUUGACGGUAUCUGACCAGAAAGCCACGGCUAACUACGUGCCAGCAGCCGCGGUAAU
This 195-nucleotide ribosomal RNA is filed under the name uncultured bacterium. Its description in RNAcentral is "partial 16S rRNA". It matches the Rfam family "Bacterial small subunit ribosomal RNA", at positions 338 to 524 of the family's 1533-position model. The record is from RNAcentral.